This 468-nucleotide ribosomal RNA is filed under the name uncultured bacterium. Its description in RNAcentral is "partial 16S ribosomal RNA". It matches the Rfam family "Bacterial small subunit ribosomal RNA", at positions 28 to 507 of the family's 1533-position model. The record is from RNAcentral.
GACGAACGCUGGCGGCGUGCUUAACACAUGCAAGUCGAACGGAAAGGCCCUGCUUUUGUGGGGUGCUCGAGUGGCGAACGGGUGAGUAACACGUGAGUAACCUGCCCUUGACUUUGGGAUAACUUCAGGAAACUGGGGCUAAUACCGGAUAGGAGCUCCUGCUGCAUGGUGGGGGUUGGAAAGUUUCGGCGGUUGGGGAUGGACUCGCGGCUUAUCAGCUUGUUGGUGGGGUAGUGGCUGACCAAGGCUUUGACGGGUAGCCGGCCUGAGAGGGUGACCGGCCACAUGGGGACUGAGAGACGGCCCAGACUCCUACGGGAGGCAGCAGUGGGGAAUAUUGCACAAUGGGCGGAAGCCUGAUGCAGCAACGCCGCGUGCGGGAUGACGGCCUUCGGGUUGUAAACCGCUUUCGCCUGUGACGAAGCGUGAGUGACGGUAAUGGGUAAAGAAGCACCGGCUAACUACGUG